Molecule: long non-coding RNA, 926 nt
Filed under: Manacus vitellinus (golden-collared manakin)
Lineage: Eukaryota; Metazoa; Chordata; Aves; Passeriformes; Pipridae
Description: lncRNA (ENSMVIG00005015447.1)
Source: RNAcentral
AUGCAAGGACCUGAAAAAUCAUUUAAAAAUACAAAUAACAAAUGCUUGGCCUCUGGAAUGAGCUGCAGGGUGUUCCAGAGCAAAGCCCUUCUCGCAUGCUGGUUCCCAAACUCUAGCUAUGUCUCCAUCCCACAGGGUCUCGUGAUGCUCCAUGCUGUGCAGGGACCAAGGCUACAAUCUGGGAGGGCCACAGGAGCCGACUCACCUCCUAUAUCCAUCUUUUUCCACAGGUUUUCCCUAUCUUUGAACACGUGUCUCCAUCAGGGACAGGGGCUGGUGGCUGCAGCCCUGACAGCAAGCAAGCUGAAGGAAUCCCUAGCAAAAUUCCUUCAUGUGACUCUUCCCUUGGUAAAACAGCCAGCUGUGAGCUUUUCCCUGAAACCCAUCCCUGCAAACACGGUGGAUCUACCAGAAACCUGAAAUGCUUUGUGUUCCUGAGACACCUUGAUAAGAGUUUUGCAAGGCAAGAGGUUCCCAAAUAACUGCUCUGAUCAUCACUACUGAAACUUUGCUUUGAAAAUAUAUUUUCUGCAAACUCACCAGCUGCCUGGGAGGUCACAGCCACAAUUCCCUGUGCCCAGAAGAGCCAUUCCCAGAACUGCACUGGGCUUAGCCAUGGAUCCAAAAUCUGCACCCUGCUCCAGCCUUUGAAUGCCUCCAAAAUCCUCCGGCAGAAGAUGUGAUCAAUGAAGCAUCUUUGAGGGGAGAAAAACCCAACCAUCAUCUGCAAAUCCUGCCACCACCCCAUCCACCUGAGCUUUGGGGGGGAGCAGCGAGCCUGGAAAUCUCCUGGAGUACUGGGUUUUGUGUGUGUGUUUUUUUUUUUAAACCAGCAUAAAAAAUUACUUUUGGCUUUUUUGAGCCAAAAUGCCACUUUGGAGCACACCAACUCCUUCAAGGAUGAGUCUCUGUGAUUUCUAAAAGCU